Molecule: ribosomal RNA, 505 nt
Filed under: uncultured bacterium
Lineage: Bacteria
Description: partial 16S ribosomal RNA
Rfam family: Bacterial small subunit ribosomal RNA
Source: RNAcentral
AUUGAGCGCUGGCGGCAGGCCUAACACAUGCAAGUCGGACGGUAGCACAGAGGAGCUUGCUCCUUGGGUGACGAGUGGCGGACGGGUGAGUAAUGUCUGGGGAUCUGCCCGAUAGAGGGGGAUAACCACUGGAAACGGUGGCUAAUACCGCAUAACGUCGCAAGACCAAAGAGGGGGACCUUCGGGCCUCUCACUAUCGGAUGAACCCAGAUGGGAUAGCUAGUAGGCGGGGUAAUGGCCCACCUAGGCGACGAACCCUAGCUGGUCUGAGAGGAUGACCAGCAACCCUGGAACUGAGACACGGUCCACACUCCUACGGGAGGCAGCAGUGGGGAAUAUUGCACAAUGGGCGCAAGCCUGAUGCAGCCAUGCCGCGUGUAUGAAGAAGGCCUUCGGGUUGUAAAGUACUUUCAGCGGGGAGGAAGGCGGUGAGGUUAAUAACCUUGCCGAUUGACGUUACCCGCAAAAGAAGCACCGGCUAACUCCGUGCCAGCCGCCGCGGUAA